GAUGAACGCUGGCGGCGUGCUUAACACAUGCAAGUCGAGCGAAGACAUCUGAGUGCUUGCACUUGGAUGGACUGAGUGGCGGACGGGUGAGUAACGCGUGGGUAACCUGCCUUAUACAGGGGGAUAACAGUUGGAAACGACUGCUAAUACCGCAUAAGCGCACGGUAUCGCAUGAUACAGUGUGAAAAACUCCGGUGGUAUAAGAUGGACCCGCGUCUGAUUAGCUUGUUGGUGAGGUAACGGCUCACCAAGGCGACGAUCAGUAGCCGGCCUGAGAGGGUGAACGGCCACAUUGGGACUGAGACACGGCCCAAACUCCUACGGGGGGCAGCAGUGGGGAAUAUUGCACAAUGGGGGAAACCCUGAUGCAGCGACGCCGCGUGAGUGAUGAAGUAUUUCGGUAUGUAAAACUCUAUCAGCAGGGAAGAUAAUGACGGUACCUGACUAAGAAGCA
Molecule: ribosomal RNA, 454 nt
Filed under: uncultured bacterium
Lineage: Bacteria
Description: bacterial SSU rRNA
Rfam family: Bacterial small subunit ribosomal RNA
Source: RNAcentral